Molecule: non-coding RNA, 107 nt
Organism: Amborella trichopoda
Lineage: Eukaryota; Viridiplantae; Streptophyta; Magnoliopsida; Amborellales; Amborellaceae
Source: Rfam
CUUCUCAAAUAGGCAUCAAGGUUGAAGAAUUCAGAAAUCAGUGCGUUGUUUUUCAGCUUCUUCUCUAUUUUCUUAUGAGUGUGGAGUUAAAUCACAACACAACAUUU